This 751-nucleotide ribosomal RNA is filed under the name Enterobacter cloacae. Its description in RNAcentral is "bacterial LSU rRNA". It matches the Rfam family "Bacterial large subunit ribosomal RNA", at positions 1 to 787 of the family's 2925-position model. Lineage: Bacteria; Pseudomonadati; Pseudomonadota; Gammaproteobacteria; Enterobacterales; Enterobacteriaceae. The record is from RNAcentral.
GGGUUGUGAGGUUAAGCGACUAAGCGUACACGGUGGAUGCCCUGGCAGUCAGAGGCGAUGAAGGACGUGCUAAUCUGCGAAAAGCGCCGGCGAGGUGAUAUGAACCUUUGACCCGGCGAUGUCCGAAUGGGGAAACCCAGUGUGAUUCGUCACACUAUCGUUAACUGAAUACAUAGGUUAACGAGGCGAACCGGGGGAACUGAAACAUCUAAGUACCCCGAGGAAAAGAAAUCAACCGAGAUUCCCCCAGUAGCGGCGAGCGAACGGGGAGCAGCCCAGAGUCUGAAUCAGCUUGUGUGUUAGUGGAAGCGUCUGGAAAGUCGCACGGUACAGGGUGACAGUCCCGUACACGAAAGCACACAGGUUGUGAACUCGAAGAGUAGGGCGGGACACGUGGUAUCCUGUCUGAAUAUGGGGGGACCAUCCUCCAAGGCUAAAUACUCCUGACUGACCGAUAGUGAACCAGUACCGUGAGGGAAAGGCGAAAAGAACCCCGGCGAGGGGAGUGAAAAAGAACCUGAAACCGUGUACGUACAAGCAGUGGGAGCACCUUCGUGGUGUGACUGCGUACCUUUUGUAUAAUGGGUCAGCGACUUAUAUUCUGUAGCAAGGUUAACCGUAUAGGGGAGCCGAAGGGAAACCGAGUCUUAACUGGGCGUUAAGUUGCAGGGUAUAGACCCGAAACACGGUGAUCUAGCCAUGGGCAGGUUGAAGGUUGGGUAACACUAACUGGAGGACCGAACCGACUAAU